This 76-nucleotide transfer RNA is filed under the name Sphingomonadaceae bacterium. RNAcentral's name for it is "tRNA-Thr". It matches the Rfam family "tRNA". Rfam says of the family: Transfer RNA (tRNA) molecules are approximately 80 nucleotides in length. Their secondary structure includes four short double-helical elements and three loops (D, anti-codon, and T loops). RNAcentral also lists the same sequence under 1 other name. Lineage: Bacteria; Pseudomonadati; Pseudomonadota; Alphaproteobacteria; Sphingomonadales; Sphingomonadaceae. The record is from RNAcentral.
GCCGACUUAGCUCAGUUGGUAGAGCAGUUGAUUUGUAAUCAUCAGGUCGGGGGUUCGAUUCCUCCAGUCGGCACCA